This is a long non-coding RNA of Astatotilapia calliptera (eastern happy), 1382 nucleotides long. Lineage: Eukaryota; Metazoa; Chordata; Actinopteri; Cichliformes; Cichlidae. The record is from Ensembl.
AANNNNNNNNNNNNNNNNNNNNNNNNNUAAAAGGCAAUUAACAAUAGAAGAGACAAACCAUCAUAACAUAAAAGUGUAGGUUUUUCCUUCAGAGAAAUUGUGAAGAAAGGCAAUGUAUCAGGGAUUACAGUCUCUUUUACUAUCAAAAGGCACUGAGGGAAUCUGACAGGAAGAGGUCUGCAGAACCCAAAGCCACAACAAAAUCAGAAGGCAAGAUAGACUCAACAGCUAGAGUGAUAGGUGGCUCACGGGACCACAGCUUAAUAGUAAGCAAGUCUCAGUUUCAACUGCAAAAAGCAGACUUUGAGAUACAGGACUGACAGAUCAAGUUGCAGCAAGGCAGCCAUAGCUUUGACGUGAGAAUAAGAAAAAAAAAAAGAAAAAAAGCCUUCCCUGGGCCAUGAAACACCACCAAUGGACCACUGAAGACUUUCAAAAUUUGAAAUCUUCCGUUCAUCAUUCAGGAUUUUUGUAUGCCAUUGAGAAGGCGAAAAGGAGGUUCCUCAGUCUGUGACAUCAAAUGUCAAACAUGGCAGAGGAAGUGUGAUGUUCUGGGGCUGUUUUGUUGGAUCCAGGGUGAAUGACUAGUACAGAUUGAGACUAGUACAGAACCAACAGCUACAACGAGAUUCUGCAUCAACAUGCAGAAUCUUGGUAUGUACCAAGUCAGGGGUUCAUCCAACAGCAAGAUAAUGACUCAAAACAUACGUCCAAGGUAUGGCAGACUUACCUUAGGAAAAAAACAGAACAAGAUGGUAAGCUUGAAAAAGAAAAAAAAGAAGAAAAAAAAUAGGGUUGCUGGUAGGGAUGGGUAUCGAAAACAGGUUCUUGUUGAGAACCGGUUCCCACUGUUUCAAUUCCUUGGAAUUGUUUGCCAUUUUUGCAAACGAUUCCCUUAUCGAUUCCAGUCGCCCCGAAUGACGUCACCACGUUGCGGAGCGUCAUUUACCUGGCAGGAAACACGGCGCGUAAGCGGCUCAAACGCUCAAAAGUUUGGUUACACUUUACUGGAACGGAUGACAACAGGGCAACUGGCAAUACUUGCAAAGUAGAUACUUCAUUUAAGGGAAGAAACACUACGAAUAUGCAAAAGCAUUUGCUCAGAAAACACGUGAUAACCUUAAAUGAAUGUCGUGUUUUUAAUUCCGCUCCGGACUCGUGAAUCUUAACCCAGCAGCAGCGGUAACGUUUGCACGUCCUCUCCCGUUAAUGCGGCAGGUAAAUAAUCAACUAACAGUGCAUAUUAUGUUAGCGCGAUCUGCCUUAUUACAAAACCUGCCAUUACUGUGCAUUUAGGUGACCAUGAUGAGAGAGACAGACAGAGUCUGGCUGGCUCAGAUGCUGGCAGUUCUCGCUGCAGUCUACCGGUAGCGUCUCCUUUC